This 465-nucleotide ribosomal RNA is filed under the name Vreelandella stevensii. Its description in RNAcentral is "partial 16S ribosomal RNA". It matches the Rfam family "Bacterial small subunit ribosomal RNA", at positions 338 to 795 of the family's 1533-position model. The record is from RNAcentral. Lineage: Bacteria; Pseudomonadati; Pseudomonadota; Gammaproteobacteria; Oceanospirillales; Halomonadaceae.
CCUACGGGGGGCUGCAGUGGGGAAUAUUGGACAAUGGGCGAAAGCCUGAUCCAGCCAUGCCGCGUGUGUGAAGAAGGCCUUCGGGUUGUAAAGCACUUUCAGUGGGGAAGAAAGCCUUGGGGCUAAUACCCUCGAGGAAGGACAUCACCCACAGAAGAAGCACCGGCUAACUCCGUGCCAGCAGCCGCGGUAAUACGGAGGGUGCGAGCGUUAAUCGGAAUUACUGGGCGUAAAGCGCGCGUAGGCGGUCUGAUAAGCCGGUUGUGAAAGCCCCGGGCUCAACCUGGGAACGGCAUCCGGAAAUGUCAGGCUUGGGUGCAGGAGAGGAAGGUAGAAUUCCCGGUGUAGCGGGGGAAUGCGUAGAGGUCGGGAGGAAUACCAGUGGCGAAGGCGGCCUUCUGGACCGACACUGACGCUGAGGUGCGAAAGCGUGGGUAGCAAACAGGGUUAGGUACCCCAGUAGUC